Molecule: ribosomal RNA, 501 nt
Filed under: uncultured bacterium
Lineage: Bacteria
Description: bacterial SSU rRNA
Rfam family: Bacterial small subunit ribosomal RNA
Source: RNAcentral
ACUCAAAGGAAUAGACGGGGACCCGCACAAGCGGUGGAGCAUGUGGUUUAAUUCGACGCAACGCGAAGAACCUUACCUGGAUUUGACAUCCUCUGACAUCCAUAGAAAUAUGGCUUUUUAUGCUUGCAUAAACAGAGUGACAGGUGCUGCAUGGCUGUCGUCAGCUCGUGUCGUGAGAUGUUGGGUUAAGUCCCGCAACGAGCGCAACCCUUGUUUUUAGUUGCCAUUAUUAAGUUAGGCACUCUAAAAAUACUGCCUCGGUUAACGGGGAGGAAGGUGGGGAUGACGUCAAGUCCUCAUGGCCUUUAUAUCCAGGGCUACACACGUGCUACAAUGGGCUGUACAAAGAGUUGCCACUUCGCGAGAAGGAGCUAAUCUCAAAAAGCAGUUCUCAGUUCGGAUUGAAGUCUGCAACCCGACUUCAUGAAGUUGGAAUCGCUAGUAAUCGUGGAUCAGCAUGCCACGGUGAAUACGUUCCCGGGUCUUGUACACACCGCCCGU